This 502-nucleotide ribosomal RNA is filed under the name uncultured bacterium. RNAcentral describes it as "bacterial SSU rRNA". It matches the Rfam family "Bacterial small subunit ribosomal RNA", at positions 29 to 524 of the family's 1533-position model. The record is from RNAcentral.
AUUGAACGCUGGCGGCGUGCCUAACACAUGCAAGUCGAGCGGCAGCGCGGGAGCAAUCCUGGCGGCGAGCGGCGGACGGGUGAGUAACGCUUGGGAAUCUGCCUGUUAGUGGGGGACAACCCGGGGAAACGUCGGGCUAAUACCGCAUACGCACUACGGUGGAAAGCCGGGGACCGCAAGGCCUGGCGCUAACAGAUGAGCCCAAGUCGGAUUAGCUAGUUGGUAGGGUAACGGCCUACCAAGGCGACGAUCCGUAACUGGUCUGAGAGGACGACCAGUCACACCGGAACUGAGACACGGUCCGGACUCCUACGGGAGGCAGCAGUGGGGAAUAUUGGACAAUGGGGGAAACCCUGAUCCAGCGACGCCGCGUGGGUGAAGAAGGCCUGCGGGUUGUAAAGCCCUUUCAGUGGGGAAGAAAAGCUCGACCUAACACGUCGGGGUCUUGACGUAACCCCAUAGAAGAAGCACCGGCUAACUCUGUGCCAGCCGCCGCAGUAAU